This 546-nucleotide ribosomal RNA is filed under the name Triticum aestivum (bread wheat). Its description in RNAcentral is "partial small subunit ribosomal RNA". The record is from RNAcentral. Lineage: Eukaryota; Viridiplantae; Streptophyta; Magnoliopsida; Poales; Poaceae.
AUGGCUUUGGCAGGCGCAGUCCUGAUCUAUGUGGUGAUCCACAUUGUCUUCUUCACGCUGGACCACAAGGACAAGCAAGACAAUGAUCAAGAAGAUCAGUUGCUGGAGAAGAGGCGCAAACGGUUGCUCCUCUUCGCAAUCUUGGCAGCGACCAUCACCUACCAAGCCGGCCUCACCCCUCCCGGCGGCUUCCUGCUCCAGGACGAUGGACGACAAGCUCGGUCGGCACCACGCUGGCGACCCGGUCCUCUUGGACAACUACCCACGCCGCUACAAUGCCUUCUUCUACUGCAACUCGAUAAGCUUCAUGUUGUCCAUCGCCCUCAUCAUCCUCUUGGUCAACCCCAAUCUGUACAGGCCAGCCAUACGGAGCAAUGCAUUAUCUGUUUGUACAGCGGUGGGCUUGUUUUGUUUGAUGGGAGCCUAUGCCGCGGGAAGCACCCAACACCUCAAGACAUCCAUCUACAUCUUCGUGUUGGUGGCCGUGGUCAUCCUUGUUGCAGUCGGACUGCUGCUAGUAUUUUUGAAGGGAAAUGGCAAUUCUGA